CCUAACACAUGCAAGUCGAACGAGAUCUUCGGAUCUAGUGGCGCACGGGUGCGUAACGCGUGGGAAUCUACCCAAGGGUACGGAAUAACUCAGGGAAACUUGUGCUAAUACCGUAUAAUGUCUUCGGACCAAAGAUUUAUCGCCCAUGGAUGAGCCCGCGUUGGAUUAGCUAGUUGGUGGGGUAAUGGCCCACCAAGGCGACGAUCCAUAGCUGGUCUGAGAGGAUGAUCAGCCACACUGGGACUGAGACACGGCCCAGACUCC
Molecule: ribosomal RNA, 264 nt
Filed under: unidentified marine bacterioplankton
Lineage: Bacteria
Also listed under: 1 other name
Description: partial 16S ribosomal RNA
Rfam family: Bacterial small subunit ribosomal RNA
Source: RNAcentral